GUAACAAGGUUUCCGUAGGUGAACCUGCGGAAGGAUCAUUACUGAGUGAGGGCCCUCUGGGUCCAACCUCCCACCCGUGUUUAUUGUACCUUGUUGCUUCGGUGCGCCCGCCUCACGGCCGCCGGGGGGCUUCUGCCCCCGGGUCCGCGCGCACCGGAGACACUAUUGAACUCUGUCUGAAGAUUGCAGUCUGAGCAUAAACUAAAUAAGUUAAAACUUUCAACAACGGAUCUCUUGGUUCCGGCAUCGAUGAAGAACGCAGCGAAAUGCGAUAACUAAUGUGAAUUGCAGAAUUCAGUGAAUCAUCGAGUCUUUGAACGCACAUUGCGCCCCCUGGUAUUCCGGGGGGCAUGCCUGUCCGAGCGUCAUUGCUGCCCUCAAGCACGGCUUGUGUGUUGGGCUCCGUCCCCCCGGGGACGGGUCCGAAAGGCAGCGGCGGCACCGAGUCCGGUCCUCGAGCGUAUGGGGCUUUGUCACCCGCUCUGUAGGCCCGGCCGGCGCCAGCCGACAACCAAUCAUCCUUUUUUCAGGUUGACCUCGGAUCAGGUAGGGAUACCCGCUGAACCUAAGCAUAUCA
RNAcentral lists this unclassified non-coding RNA (577 nucleotides) under Penicillium glabrum. RNAcentral's name for it is "sequence contains 18S rRNA gene, ITS1, 5.8S rRNA gene, ITS2, 28S rRNA gene". The stretch from base 215 to 368 matches the Rfam family "5.8S ribosomal RNA". Lineage: Eukaryota; Fungi; Ascomycota; Eurotiomycetes; Eurotiales; Aspergillaceae. The record is from RNAcentral.